AUUGAACGCUGCCGGCAGGCCUAACACAUGCAAGUCGAGCGAGCGGCGGACCGGUGAGUAAUGUAUGGGGACUGCCCGAUAGAGGGGGAUAACUCAUGGAAACGGUUGCUAAUACCGCAUACUAUCGGAUAACCCAUAUGGGAUUAGCUAGUAGGUGGGGUAAAGGCUCAGCUAGGCGACGAUCUCUAGCUGGACUGAGCGGAUGAUCAGCCACACUGGGAGUGAUACACGGCCCAGACGCCAAGGGAGGAGGAAGUGGGGAAUAGUGCACAAGGGGCGCAAGCCUGAUGCAGCCAUGCGGAGUGUAUGAAGAAGGCCUUAGGGUGAGAAAGUACUUUAAGCGAGGAGGCGUUACCCGCAGAAUGAGCACCGGCUAACUCCGUGCCAGCAGCCGCGGUAAUAC
Molecule: ribosomal RNA, 403 nt
Filed under: uncultured bacterium
Lineage: Bacteria
Description: partial 16S ribosomal RNA
Rfam family: Bacterial small subunit ribosomal RNA
Source: RNAcentral